AUUGAACGCUGGCGGCAUGCCUUACACAUGCAAGUCGAACGGUAACGGGUCCUUCGGGAUGCCGACGAGUGGCGAACGGGUGAGUAAUAUAUCGGAACGUGCCCAGUAGUGGGGGAUAACUGCUCGAAAGAGCAGCUAAUACCGCAUACGACCUGAGGGUGAAAGGGGGGGAUCGCAAGACCUCUCGCUAUUGGAGCGGCCGAUAUCAGAUUAGCUAGUUGGUGGGGUAAAGGCCUACCAAGGCAACGAUCUGUAGUUGGUCUGAGAGGACGACCAGCCACACUGGGACUGAGACACGGCCCAGACUCCUACGGGAGGCAGCAGUGGGGAAUUUUGGACAAUGGGCGCAAGCCUGAUCCAGCAAUGCCGCGUGCAGGAAGAAGGCCUUCGGGUUGUAAACUGCUUUUGUCAGGGAAGAAAUCUUCUGGGCUAAUACCCCGGGAGGAUGACGGUACCUGAAGAAUAAGCACCGGCUAACUACGUGCCAGCAGCCGCGGUAAUACGUAGGGUGCGAGCGUUAAUCGGAAUUACUGGGCGUAAAGCGUGCGCAGGCGGCUUUGCAAGACAGAUGUGAAAUCCCCGGGCUCAACCUGGGAACUGCAUUUGUGACUGCAAGGCUAGAGUACGGCAGAAGGGGAUGGAAUUCCGCGUGUAGCAGUGAAAUGCGUAGAUAUGCGGAGGAACACCAAUGGCGAAGGCAAUCCCCUGGGCCUGUACUGACGCUCAUGCACGAAAGCGUGGGGAGCAAACAGGAUUAGAUACCCUGGUAGUCCACGCCCUAAACGAUGUCAACUGGUUGUUGGACGGCUUGCUGUUCAGUAACGAAGCUAACGCGUGAAGUUGACCGCCUGGGGAGUACGGCCGCAAGGUUGAGACUCAAAGGAAUUGACGGGGACCCGCACAAGCGGUGGAUGAUGUGGUUUAAUUCGAUGCAACGCGAAAAACCUUACCUACCCUUGACAUGUCAAGAAUUCUGCAGAGAUGUGGAAGUGCUCGAAAGAGAACUUGAACACAGGUGCUGCAUGGCCGUCGUCAGCUCGUGUCGUGAGAUGUUGGGUUAAGUCCCGCAACGAGCGCAACCCUUGUCAUUAGUUGCUACGCAAGAGCACUCUAAUGAGACUGCCGGUGACAAACCGGAGGAAGGUGGGGAUGACGUCAGGUCCUCAUGGCCCUUAUGGGUAGGGCUACACACGUCAUACAAUGGCCGGUACAGAGGGCUGCCAACCCGCGAGGGGGAGCCAAUCCCAGAAAACCGGUCGUAGUCCGGAUCGUAGUCUGCAACUCGACUGCGUGAAGUCGGAAUCGCUAGUAAUCGCGGAUCAGCUUGCCGCGGUGAAUACGUUCCCGGGUCU
RNAcentral lists this ribosomal RNA (1352 nucleotides) under uncultured bacterium. RNAcentral describes it as "bacterial SSU rRNA". It matches the Rfam family "Bacterial small subunit ribosomal RNA", at positions 28 to 1381 of the family's 1533-position model. The record is from RNAcentral.